Daktulosphaira vitifoliae (grape phylloxera) is the source of this 292-nucleotide long non-coding RNA. RefSeq lists it as uncharacterized. The record is from RefSeq and is a predicted model, not a curated record. The transcript has 3 exons. Lineage: Eukaryota; Metazoa; Arthropoda; Insecta; Hemiptera; Phylloxeridae.
UCGUCAUAAGUUUUUAGUAGAAAGAUUGAAAGUAAAAACACAAGAAAGAAAUUUUAAUGAUGGUCUAACUUUGAUUAAACACAAAAAAAAUACAAUUUUACAGCUUUCAAAAAUUAUACCACAAGUUUCUAUGGCAGUUGAAGUACUUCAGGAAAAAUAUCUGGGCGAGCCUAAAAAGGAACUAGCUAAUGAAGUUGACAACUAUAUAAAAGCAAAAAAUAAUAUAAAUAUGACCUACAAGAUGAUCAAAUCCUUAGAAAGACAGUUAAGUUAAAUCUUCUACCUAUACCCA